RNAcentral lists this ribosomal RNA (468 nucleotides) under uncultured bacterium. RNAcentral's name for it is "partial 16S ribosomal RNA". It matches the Rfam family "Bacterial small subunit ribosomal RNA", at positions 28 to 507 of the family's 1533-position model. The record is from RNAcentral.
GACGAACGCUGGCGGCGUGCUUAACACAUGCAAGUCGAACGGAAAGGCCCUGCUUUUGUGGGGUGCUCGAGUGGCGAACGGGUGAGUAACACGUGAGUAACCUGCCCUUGACUUUGGGAUAACUUCAGGAAACUGGGGCUAAUACCGGAUAGGAGCUCCUGCGGCAUGGUGGGGGUUGGAAAGUUUCGGCGGUUGGGGAUGGACUCGCGGCCUAUCAGCUUGUUGGUGGGGUAGUGGCUUACCAAGGCUUUGACGGGUAGCCGGCCUGAGAGGGUGACCGGCCACAUUGGGACUGAGAUACGGCCCAGACUCCUACGGGAGGCAGCAGUGGGGAAUAUUGCACAAUGGGCGGAAGCCUGAUGCAGCAACGCCGCGUGCGGGAUGACGGCCUUCGGGUUGUAAACCGCUUUCGCCUGUGACGAAGCGUGAGUGACGGUAAUGGGUAAAGAAGCACCGGCUAACUACGUG